Molecule: ribosomal RNA, 190 nt
Filed under: uncultured Bacteroidota bacterium
Lineage: Bacteria; Pseudomonadati; Bacteroidota
Description: uncultured Bacteroidetes bacterium partial 16S ribosomal RNA
Rfam family: Bacterial small subunit ribosomal RNA
Source: RNAcentral
CCUACGGGAGGCAGCAGUGAGGAAUAUUGGUCAAUGGGCGCAAGCCUGAACCAGCCAUCCCGCGUGAAGGAAGAAGGCGCUAUGCGUUGUAAACUUCUUUUCCAGGGAAAUAAAAUUUCGUACGUGUACGGAACUGAAGGUACCCUGGGAAUAAGCAUCGGCUAACUCCGUGCCAGCAGCCGCGGUAAUA